CCUACGGGAGGCAGCAGUGGGGAAUCUUGCGCAAUGGGCGAAAGCCUGACGCAGCCAUGCCGCGUGAAUGAUGAAGGUCUUAGGAUUGUAAAAUUCUUUCACCGAGGACGAUAAUGACGGUACUCGGAGAGGAAGCCCCGGCUAACUUCGUGCCAGCAGCCGCGGUAAUACGAAGGGGGCUAGCGUUGCUCGGAAUUACUGGGCGUAAAGGGAGCGUAGGCGGAUAGUUUAGUCAGAGGUGAAAGCCCAGGGCUCAACCUUGGAAUUGCCUUUGAUACUGGCUAUCUUGAGUACGGAAGAGGUAUGUGGAACUCCGAGUGUAGAGGUGAAAUUCGUAGAUAUUCGGAAGAACACCAGUGGCGAAGGCGACAUACUGGUCCGUUACUGACGCUGAGGCUCGAAAGCGUGGGGAGCAAACAGGAUUAGAUACCCUGGUAGUCCACGCUGUAAACGAUGAGUGCUAGUUGUCGGCAUGCAUGCAUGUCGGUGACGCAGCUAACGCAUUAAGCACUCCGCCUGGGGAGUACGGUCGCAAGAUUAAAACUCAAAGGAAUUGACGG
Molecule: ribosomal RNA, 560 nt
Filed under: uncultured bacterium
Lineage: Bacteria
Description: bacterial SSU rRNA
Rfam family: Bacterial small subunit ribosomal RNA
Source: RNAcentral